Oncorhynchus mykiss (rainbow trout) is the source of this 1574-nucleotide non-coding RNA. The record is from RefSeq and is a predicted model, not a curated record. NCBI's taxonomy places the organism in Eukaryota, Metazoa, Chordata, Actinopteri, Salmoniformes, Salmonidae.
AGCUCCGGAAAGAGGCCCAAGUUCCUGAGUUGGGUGGCGGUACAAAUCGAUUUGUUUCUGUCUGAUCUCGUUUUUUUUUUUUUUCGAAAUCCCAGUUGUUUUGUAGGCGCUGUCGUAUGAAGUAGAAGAUUUUCGAAUUCCCGAGCUCCCAAUUAGUUUGAACGCGGCAUGAAUCCUCAGGCGUCGACGUCUCUUACUGUUGUCGUUUGGUCGAUGGCGCCACCGGUUGGUGGGUUUUUUUUGUGUGAGCCUGGUGGAGAGCAUCCGUGAAGGCCUAUUUUACCCACCGCAUUCCUCAUCCAUGCAAAGCAUAUCUGCUACAUGGACUAACCUACUAAUCAGCGCCAACAGCUCUGUGGACAUAGCUGCUUUCUACUUCACCCUCCGAGACACUGGCCUGGGACUCACAAAGCCUAGUGCUGCACAGGGAAAACAGGUCUUUAUUAAGCAGCUGAUGGAACUUGAAGCAAAAGGAGUGAAACUUCAGAUUGCUGUUAAUGAUUCUCAGACUGCUACAGCUGAUUUGAUCCAGAACAGGUGCAGAGGUACGGGAGGUGGAUCUCCAGUCAGUGGCGAGAGGUAUCAUCCACACCAAACUGUGGGUCGUGGAUCAGAGAAACACCUCUACCUGGGCAGUGCCAACAUGGAUCCCUCACACAGGUUCUGGCCUGCGAUUGACUCAUCCAUACGGGCAGCAGCGUGUUCUAGAGGGGUAGAGGUCAACCUACUAGUGAGCUGCUGGUCACACUCUGUUCCUCUUUCCACAGUCCCUGACUGUCCUCAACAGACCUCCCCUGGGUUGCAACAUCAAUUUGAAACUGUUUGAUUUGCCGUCAACAGCAGAGCAGAAGAAGAUCAUUAUCUCGAGCGAACAAUGCCAAGUACAUGGUGACAGACCGAGUCGUCUAUAUACAUCACAAUCACUACUCAUUGGACAAAAUGAACCUCCAACUGGUCAGAGAAUUAUUUCACCCACACUGCAGGUGUUGGGCUGGUGGUGAACCAGACUGGUACUGUGGUGGCAGAGAGAGAGCAAGAGGAGUUAACAGACUCAGCUACAGGAAGUCUUCUUUAAGGGACUGAACAUCUCAUUACCCCCAAUCCCUUUCCAAUGACAAUGUCAAACACUGUGGUAGAUGAUGCUAACGGUGAUGACCCAUUCUGUAUGUCCCAAAUCGCACCAUACUCCAUAUAUAGUACACUAUUUUUUAAACUGAGAAAAUAGUGCACUAUGUAGGGAAUAGGGUGGGUGCCAUUUGGGACAUGUUCCCAUAUUAGUCUUAGAUAAUUGUUUUGGCAUAUACUUCCACUGGUCCUCAGCAUGCUGCCUAUCACAAGCGCUUACAUUGCAUUGAUUUCUUACAAUCAACUACUCAUUUCAUAAUUAUGUUCUGUUACACAUUUGAAUUUAUUGGUGUAUACAUAUUUUCUACUUGAGUUAUUUUCUGUAACUUUUUUGCUUCUCAAUGGAAGUGUCAACAUUGAAUGAAUCUUGAAGUUCUGUUUUUGAUCAAUUACUUUUGCUUUGACUGACUGAGACUCAGUGAAUCAAGGCAUGUGUUGUCUAUAUGGGA